Non-coding RNA from Aptenodytes forsteri (emperor penguin), 75 nucleotides. NCBI's taxonomy places the organism in Eukaryota, Metazoa, Chordata, Aves, Sphenisciformes, Spheniscidae. The record is from Rfam.
CCUUCGCUGAUGAGUAACCAUUUGACUUUCGUUCUUCUGAGCUCGCUGAAGCAACGCUUAAUUGAUCUGAGGAGG